RNAcentral lists this ribosomal RNA (483 nucleotides) under uncultured bacterium. RNAcentral describes it as "partial 16S ribosomal RNA". It matches the Rfam family "Bacterial small subunit ribosomal RNA", at positions 28 to 507 of the family's 1533-position model. The record is from RNAcentral.
GACGAACGCUGGCGGCGUGCUUAACACAUGCAAGUCGAACGCUGAAGCUCAGCUUUUGUUGGGUGGAUGAGUGGCGAACGGGUGAGUAACACGUGAGUAACCUGCCCCCUUCUUUGGGAUAACGCCCGGAAACGGGUGCUAAUACUGGAUAUUCACUGGUCUUCGCAUGGGGGUUGGUGGAAAGGGUUUUUCUGGUGGGGGAUGGGCUCGCGGCCUAUCAGCUUGUUGGUGGGGUGAUGGCCUACCAAGGCUUUGACGGGUAGCCGGCCUGAGAGGGUGACCGGUCACAUUGGGACUGAGAUGCGGCCCAGGCUCCUACGGGAGGCGGCAGUGGGGAAUAUUGCACAAUGGGCGCAAGCCUGAUGCCGCGACGCCGCGUGAGGGAUGGGGGCCUUCGGGUUGUGAACCUCUUUCGCUCAUGGUCAAGCCGCAACAAUGGUUGUGGUGAGGGUAGUGGGUAAAGAAGCGCCGGCUAACUACGUG